GAUGAACGCUGGCGGCGUGCCUAAUACAUGCAAGUCGAGCGAACAGACGAGGAGCUUGCUCCUCUGACGUUAGCGGCGGACGGGUGAGUAACACGUGGAUAACCUACCUAUAAGACUGGGAUAACUUCGGGAAACCGGAGCUAAUACCGGAUAAUAUAUUGAACCGCAUGGUUCAAUAGUGAAAGACGGUUUUGCUGUCACUUAUAGAUGGAUCCGCGCCGCAUUAGCUAGUUGGUAAGGUAACGGCUUACCAAGGCAACGAUGCGUAGACGACCUGAGAGGGUGAUCGGCCACACUGGAACUGAGACACGGUCCAGACUCCUACGGGAGGCAGCAGUAGGGAAUCUUCCGCAAUGGGCGAAAGCUUGACGGAGCAACGCCGCGUGAGUGAUGAAGGUCUUCGGAUCGUAAAACUCUGUUAUUAGGGAAGAACAAAUGUGUAAGUAACUAUGCACGUCUUGACGGUACCUAAUCAGAAAGCCACGGCUAACUACGUG
RNAcentral lists this ribosomal RNA (497 nucleotides) under uncultured bacterium. Its description in RNAcentral is "partial 16S ribosomal RNA". It matches the Rfam family "Bacterial small subunit ribosomal RNA", at positions 28 to 507 of the family's 1533-position model. The record is from RNAcentral.